UUUUUUAAAGCCAAAUGGCCCUUUGGCCGUCAUACGCUUCUAGGUGUCCGAAGCCCGAUCAUACGAAAGUAGCUUUAACAAAGCCCACCUGACCCCACGAAAGCUGAGAAACAAACUGGGAUUAGAUACCCCACUAUGCUCAGCCAUAAACCUAGACAUCCAACUACAAUUAGAUGUCCGCCCGGGUACUACGAGCAUCAGCUUGAAACCCAAAGGACCUGACGGUGCCUCAGACCCCCCUAGAGGAGCCUGUUCUAGAACCGAUAACCCCCGUUAAACCUCACCACUUCUAGCCAUCCCAGCCUAUAUACCGCCGUCGUCAGCUUACCCUGUGAAGGUAAUAAAAGUAAGCAAAAUGGGCACAACCCAGAACGUCAGGUCGAGGUGUAGCGUACGAAGUGGGAAGAAAUGGGCUACAUUUUCUAUCACAGAACACUACGAACAUGCAACAUGAAAUAGUGCUUGAAGGAGGAUUUAGUAGUAAAAAGGAAGCAGAGUGUCCUUUUGAACCCGGCUCUGAGGCGCGUACACACCGCCCGUCACUCUCCCCUGUCAAAACGCAACAAAGAUACUUAACACUAAAGCACUGACAAGGGGAGGCAAGUCGUAACAUGGUAAGUGUACCGGAAGGUGCACUUGGAUUAAACCCAGGGCGUGGCUGAGUUAGUCAAGCAUCUCACUUACACCGAGAAGACAUCCAUGCAAGUUGGAUCGCCCUGAGCCAAACAGCUAGCUUAACCACCAAUAUAACCUAACAAUGUUAAUAACAAAACAUGACUUAACACCACAAACUAAACCAUUUUUUUACCUGAGUAUGGGAGACAGAAAAGGUUCAACCCAAAGCAAUAGAAAAAGUACCGCAAGGGAAAGCUGAAAGAGAAAUGAAACAACCCAUAUAAGCACUAAAAAACAAAGACUAAACCUUGUACCUUUUGCAUCAUGAUUUAGCCAGCACCCUCAAGCAAAGAGACCUUUAGUUUGAAACCCCGAAACCAGGUGAGCUACCCCGAGACAGCCUAUUUAAAUUUAGGGCUAACCCGUCUCUGUGGCAAAAGAGUGGGAAGAGCUCCGGGUAGAAGUGAUAGACCUACCGAACCUGGUGAUAGCUGGUUGCCUGAGAAGUGGAUAGAAGUUCAGCCUCGUACGCCCCAAAUCAAAAAAUAUAACAUUAAGACAUAAGGGAUACAUACGAGAGUUAGUUAAAGGGGGUACAGCCCCUCUAACAAAGGAUACAACCUUCACAGGAGGAUAAAGAUCAUAAUAUAUAAAACAUGCUGUUUUAGUGGGCCUAAAAGCAGCCAUCUAAAUAGAAAGCGUUAAAGCUCAGACAGAAAGAAGUUUAUUAUACUGAUAAAAAAUCUUAUUCCCCUAACAAUAUCAGGCUAACCCAUGCCCACAUGGAAGAAAUUAUGCUAAAAUGAGUAACAAGAAGACCUGCUCUUCUCCAAGCACAAGUGUAAGCCAGAUCGGACAGACCACUGGAAAUUAACGAACCCAACCCAAGAGAGUAAUGUGAAUAAUAGAAAAACCAAGAAAAACCCACAACCAAACAAUCGUUAACCCCACACUGGAGUGCUAUUUUUAAAGGAAAGACUAAAAGAAAGGGAAGGAACUCGGCAAACACAAGCCUCGCCUGUUUACCAAAAACAUCGCCUCCUGCAACUAAACUGAGUAUAGGAGGUCCAGCCUGCCCAGUGACUACGGGUUCAACGGCCGCGGUAUUUUGACCGUGCAAAGGUAGCGCAAUCACUUGUCUUUUAAAUAGAGACCUGUAUGAAUGGCUAAACGAGGGCUUAACUGUCUCCCCCUUCAAGUCAGUGAAAUUGAUCUAUCCGUGCAGAAGCGGGUAUAACCAUACAAGACGAGAAGACCCUUUGGAGCUUAAGGUACAAAAUUCAACCACGUUAAGCAACUUAAUAAAAAGCAAAAACUUAGUGGAAAAUGAAAUUUUACCUUCGGUUGGGGCGACCACGGAGGAAAAACAAGCCUCCGAGUGGAAUGGGCCAAACCCCUAAAACCAAGAGAAACAUCUCUAAGCCACAGAACAUCUGACCAAAAAUGAUCCGGCUAAUAAAGCCGAUCAACGAACCAAGUUACCCUAGGGAUAACAGCGCAAUCCUCUCCCAGAGUCCAUAUCGACGAGGGGGUUUACGACCUCGAUGUUGGAUCAGGACAUCCUAAUGGUGCAGCCGCUAUUAAGGGUUCGUUUGUUCAACGAUUAAAGUCCUACGUGAUCUGAGUUCAGACCGGAGCAAUCCAGGUCAGUUUCUAUCUGUAACGCUACUUUUCCUAGUACGAAAGGAUCGGAAAAGAGGGGCCCAUACUUAAAGCACGCCCCACCCCUAAUUAAUGAAAACAAAUAAAUUAAACAAAGGGAGGGCCAAAACCCCAACCGCCCGAAAUAAGGACAUACUGGGGUGGCAGAGCAUGGUAAAUUGCGAAAGGCCUAAGCCCUUUAAACCAGAGGUUCAAAUCCUCUUCCCAGUUUAUGCUAAACACUCUAAUAAACCACCUGAUCAACCCCCUAGCCUACAUCGUGCCUGUCCUGCUAGCAGUAGCCUUCCUAACUCUAAUCGAACGCAAAGUAUUAGGAUACAUACAACUACGAAAAGGGCCAAAUGUGGUCGGACCAUACGGUCUCCUACAACCUAUCGCCGACGGAGUAAAAUUAUUUAUUAAAGAGCCAGUCCGCCCUUCUACAUCCUCCCCAUUCCUAUUCUUAGCCACCCCCAUUCUUGCAUUAACUCUAGCCCUAACUCUAUGAGCACCCAUACCCAUACCAUACCCAGUAAUUGAUCUCAACCUAGGAGUUCUCUUUAUCCUAGCCCUAUCAAGCCUCGCAGUAUAUUCUAUUCUAGGAUCAGGAUGAGCAUCAAAUUCAAAAUACGCACUAAUCGGAGCCCUACGGGCCGUAGCCCAAACAAUUUCCUAUGAAGUAAGCCUCGGACUAAUCCUUCUAUCAGUAAUUAUCUUCUCAGGAGGCUACACCCUACAAACAUUUAGUACGGCCCAAGAAAGUAUCUGACUAUUAGCCCCUGCAUGACCAUUAGCCGCAAUAUGAUACAUCUCAACCCUGGCAGAAACUAACCGAGCACCAUUCGACCUAACAGAAGGAGAAUCAGAGCUAGUCUCAGGCUUCAACGUAGAAUAUGCAGGAGGGCCCUUCGCCCUCUUCUUCCUAGCCGAGUAUGCAAACAUCCUAUUAAUAAAUACCUUAUCAGCUGUACUAUUUCUGGGAACAUCACACAUCCACCACAUCCCAGAAUUAACAACAAUUAGCCUUAUGACUAAGGCCGCGCUACUCUCUAUUGUAUUCCUCUGAGUACGAGCCUCGUAUCCACGAUUCCGAUACGACCAACUAAUACACCUUGUAUGAAAAAACUUCCUCCCCCUAACAUUGGCUCUAGUACUAUGACACAUUGCCCUGCCAAUCGCACUAGCGGGCCUUCCCCCACAACUAUAGUUCAGGAACUGUGCCCGAAUGCCUAGGGACCACUUUGAUAGAGUGGCCUAUAGGGGCUAAAAUCCCCUCAGUUCUU
This 3539-nucleotide transfer RNA is filed under the name Chanodichthys mongolicus (Mongolian redfin). RNAcentral describes it as "tRNA-Ile". The stretch from base 802 to 2439 matches the Rfam family "Bacterial large subunit ribosomal RNA". Lineage: Eukaryota; Metazoa; Chordata; Actinopteri; Cypriniformes; Xenocyprididae. The record is from RNAcentral.